CAACACGACCGUACCUCAAACCGACACUGGUGCGCGAGAUGAGUAUUCUAAGGCGCUUGAGAGAACUCAGGAGAAGGAAUUCGGCAAAUUGACACCGUAACUUCGGAAGAAGGUGUGCCUUUAGUAGGUGAACCAUUUACUUGGGGAGCCCAAUGAGGCUGCAAAAAAUCGGUGGCUGCAACUGUUUAUUAAAAACACAGCACUCUGCUAAGACGAAAGUCGACGUAUAGGGUGUGACGCCUGCCCGGUGCUGGAAGAUUAAAUGAUGGGGUGCAAGCUCUUGAUUGAAGUCCCAGUAAACGGCGGCCGUAACGAUAACGGUCCUAAGGUAGCGAAAUUCCUUGUCGGGUAAGUUCCGACCUGCACGAAUGGCGUAAUGAUGGCCACACUGUCUCCUCCUGAGACUCAGCGAAGUUGAAAUGUUUGUGAUGAUGCAAUCUCCCCGCGGAAAGACGGAAAGACCCCAUGAACCUUUACUGUAGCUUUGUAUUGGACUUUGAACAGAUCUGUGUAGGAUAGGUGGGAGGCUUUGAAGUGUGGUCGCUAGAUCGCAUGGAGCCAACGUUGAAAUACCACCCUGGUGUGUUUGAGGUUCUAACUUAGGUCCACUAUCUGGAUCGGGGACAGUGCAUGGUAGGCAGUUUGACUGGGGCGGUCUCCUCCCAAAGUGUAACGGAGGAGUUCGAAGGUACGCUAGGUACGGUCGGACAUCGUGCUAAUAGUGCAAUGGCAUAAGCGUGCUUAACUGCGAGACUGACAAGUCGAGCAGAUGCGAAAGCAGGACAUAGUGAUCCGGUGGUUCUGUAUGGAAGGGCCAUCGCUCAACGGAUAAAAGGUACUCUGGGGAUAACAGGCUGAUACCGCCCAAGAGUUCAUAUCGACGGCGGUGUUUGGCACCUCGAUGUCGGCUCAUCUCAUCCUGGGGCUGUAGCCGGUCCCAAGGGUAUGGCUGUUCGCCAUUUAAAGAGGUACGUGAGCUGGGUUUAAAACGUCGUGAGACAGUUUGGUCCCUAUCUUCCGUGGGCGCUGCAGAUUUGAGGAAGCCUGCUCCUAGUACGAGAGGACCGGAGUGGACGAACCUCUGGUGUAUCGGUUGUCACGCCAGUGGCAUUGCCGAGUAGCUAAGUUCGGAAGAGAUAACCGCUGAAAGCAUCUAAGCGGGAAACUCGUUUCAAGAUUAGAUCUGCCGGGGCCUUGAGCCCCCUAAAGAGUCGUUCAAGACCAGGACGUUGAUAGGUCAGGUGUGGAAGCGG
RNAcentral lists this ribosomal RNA (1253 nucleotides) under metagenome. Its description in RNAcentral is "bacterial LSU rRNA". It matches the Rfam family "Bacterial large subunit ribosomal RNA", at positions 1634 to 2876 of the family's 2925-position model. The record is from RNAcentral.